This 245-nucleotide ribosomal RNA is filed under the name uncultured Lactobacillus sp. RNAcentral describes it as "partial 16S ribosomal RNA". It matches the Rfam family "Bacterial small subunit ribosomal RNA", at positions 118 to 356 of the family's 1533-position model. The record is from RNAcentral. Lineage: Bacteria; Bacillati; Bacillota; Bacilli; Lactobacillales; Lactobacillaceae.
UGGGGAACCUGCCCCAUAGUCUGGGAUACCACUUGGAAACAGGUGCUAAUACCGGAUAAGAAAGNGGAUCGCAUGAUCAGCUUUUAAAAGGCGGCGUAAGCUGUCGCUAUGGGAUGGCCCCGCGGUGCAUUAGCUAGUUGGUAAGGUAAAGGCUUACCAAGGCGAUGAUGCAUAGCCGAGUUGAGAGACUGAUCGGCCACAUUGGGACUGAGACACGGCCCAAACUCCUACGGGAGGCAGCAGCG